RNAcentral lists this ribosomal RNA (445 nucleotides) under uncultured bacterium. RNAcentral describes it as "bacterial SSU rRNA". It matches the Rfam family "Bacterial small subunit ribosomal RNA", at positions 29 to 465 of the family's 1533-position model. The record is from RNAcentral.
AGUGAACGCUGGCGGCAGGCCUAACACAUGCAAGUCGAACGGCAGCACAGUAAGAGCUUGCUCUUAUGGGUGGCGAGUGGCGGACGGGUGAGGAAUACAUCGGAAUCUACUCUUUCGUGGGGGAUAACGUAGGGAAACUUACGCUAAUACCGCAUACGACCUACGGGUGAAAGCGGAGGACCUUCGGGCUUCGCGCGAUUGAAUGAGCCGAUGUCGGAUUAGCUAGUUGGCGGGGUAAAGGCCCACCAAGGCGACGAUCCGUAGCUGGUCUGAGAGGAUGAUCAGCCACACUGGAACUGAGACACGGUCCAGACUCCUACGGGAGGCAGCAGUGGGGAAUAUUGGACAAUGGGCGCAAGCCUGAUCCAGCCAUGCCGCGUGGGUGAAGAAGGCCUUCGGGUUGUAAAGCCCUUUUGUUGGGAAAGAAAAGCAGUCGGUUAAUACC